UACGGGGGGGGCAAGCGUUGUUCGGAAUUACUGGGCGUAAAGGGCUCGUAGGUGGCCAACUAAGUCAUACGUGAAAUCCCUCAGCUUAACUGGGGAACUGCGUCUGAUACUGGAUGGCUUGAGUUUGGGAGAGGGAUGCGGAAUUCCAGGUGUAGCGGUGAAAUGCGUAGAUAUCUGGAGGAACACCGGUGGCGAAGGCGGCAUCCUGGACCAAUACUGACACUGAGGAGCGAAAGCCAGGGGAGCAAACGGG
This 253-nucleotide ribosomal RNA is filed under the name uncultured bacterium. Its description in RNAcentral is "partial 16S ribosomal RNA". It matches the Rfam family "Bacterial small subunit ribosomal RNA", at positions 524 to 776 of the family's 1533-position model. The record is from RNAcentral.